GACGAACGCCGGCGGCGUGCUUAACACAUGCAAGUCGAACGGAAAGGCCCUGCUUUUGUGGGGUGCUCGAGUGGCGAACGGGUGAGUAACACGUGAGUAACCUGCCCUUGACUUUGGGAUAACUUCAGGAAACUGGGGCUAAUACCGGAUAGGAGCUCCUGCUGCAUGGUGGGGGUUGGAAAGUUUCGGCGGUUGGGGAUGGACUCGCGGCUUAUCAGCUUGUUGGUGGGGUAGUGGCUUACCAAGGCUUUGACGGGUAGCCGGCCUGAGAGGGUGACCGGCGACAUUGGUACUGAGAUACGGCCCAGACUCCUACGGGAGGCAGCAGUGGGGAAUAUUGCACAAUGGGCGGAAGCCUGAUGCAGCAACGCCGCGUGCGGGAUGACGGCCUUCGGGUUGUAAACCGCUUUCGCCUGUGACGAAGCGUGAGUGACGGUAAUGGGUAAAGGAGCACCGGCUAACUACGUG
RNAcentral lists this ribosomal RNA (468 nucleotides) under uncultured bacterium. RNAcentral's name for it is "partial 16S ribosomal RNA". It matches the Rfam family "Bacterial small subunit ribosomal RNA", at positions 28 to 507 of the family's 1533-position model. The record is from RNAcentral.